CCAAGUGUCCUGACUCCCAGGCCAGAGCUUGUUAUAUGACCUUCUAGGUUCUCUUGAACUCCUCCAUAGGACCAAGCCUUUCCCAGUGACAAAAAGGAUUGAAAAAGUAGCCCCAAAUAACUGUGGCUCCUGAAUGUCGUCAUGUGGAAAUGAGGAAAAUUCCAAGUGGAGUAAAAGUUUCCCAGCAACCACUCAGCCCUGAAGGUUCAAGCUGGUUAGACCUGCAGCUCUAGAGACUAUGAGAAGUUUUUAGAAUAGCAUCCAGGAAGGAGAGACAGUCUACUUGUUCAGAGAAGGCCUUCUUCAAAGCUUAUUCCCAUUUGCCAGGCCAAGAUGGAUGGAAAGAACAUAGAGCAUCCCAGUCCUCUGAUUUUUGCAGGAGUUCUUGAACUUUUUUUUUUGGUGAUAUGAGUCCUUUUGGCAAUCUGCUGAAGCAUAUGGACUGAUCAUUUUGUUAGAAUAAUGUUUUUAAAUAAUUGAAGGAAACAUUAAAUUUGAGAG
Molecule: long non-coding RNA, 501 nt
Filed under: Phascolarctos cinereus (koala)
Lineage: Eukaryota; Metazoa; Chordata; Mammalia; Diprotodontia; Phascolarctidae
Description: lncRNA (ENSPCIG00000037221.1)
Source: RNAcentral